This 468-nucleotide ribosomal RNA is filed under the name uncultured bacterium. RNAcentral's name for it is "partial 16S ribosomal RNA". It matches the Rfam family "Bacterial small subunit ribosomal RNA", at positions 28 to 507 of the family's 1533-position model. The record is from RNAcentral.
GACGAACGCUGGCGGCGUGCUUAACACAUGCAAGUCGAACGGUGAAGCUCCAGCUUGCUGGAGUGGAUCAGUGGCGAACGGGUGAGUAACACGUGAGCAACCUGCCCCUGACUCUGGAAUAAGCGCUGGAAACGGCGUCUAAUACUGGAUACGAGAAGGGUCCGCAUGGGCACUUUCUGGAAAGUUUUUCGGUUGGGGAUGGGCUCGCGGCCUAUCAGCUUGUUGGUGAGGUAAUGGCUCACCAAGGCGACGACGGGUAGCCGGCCUGAGAGGGCGACCGGCCACACUGGGACUGAGACACGGCCCAGACUCCUACGGGAGGCAGCAGUGGGGAAUAUUGCACAAUGGGCGAAAGCCUGAUGCAGCGACGCCGCGUGAGGGAUUACGGCCUUCGGGUUGUAAACCUCUUUCAGCAGGGAAGAAGCGAAAGUGACAGUACCUGCAGAAGAAGCACCGGCUAACUACGUG